This 500-nucleotide ribosomal RNA is filed under the name uncultured bacterium. RNAcentral's name for it is "partial 16S ribosomal RNA". It matches the Rfam family "Bacterial small subunit ribosomal RNA", at positions 30 to 523 of the family's 1533-position model. The record is from RNAcentral.
AUUGAACGCUGGCGGCAUGCCUUACACAUGCAAGUCGAACGGCAGCACGGGAGCAAUCCUGGUGGCGAGUGGCGAACGGGUGAGUAAAGUAUCGGAACGUGCCCAGUCGUGGGGGAUAACGUAGCGAAAGUUACGCUAAUACCGCAUGCGAUCUAUGGAUGAAAGCGGGGGAUCGCAAGACCUCGCGCGAUUGGAGCGGCCGAUAUCAGAUUAGGUAGUUGGUGGGGUAAAGGCUCACCAAGCCGACGAUCUGUAGCUGGUCUGAGAGGACGACCAGCCACACUGGGACUGGGACACGGCCCAGACUCCUACGGGAGGCAGCAGUGGGGAAUUUUGGACAAUGGGCGAAAGCCUGAUCCAGCCAUGCCGCGUGCAGGAUGAAGGCCUUCGGGUUGUAAACUGCCUUUGUACGGAACGAAAAGGUUUGGCCUAAUAAGCUGAGCUCAUGACGGUACCGUAAGAAUAGGCACCGGCUAACUACGUGCCAGCCGCCGCCGUAA